GGAAGGGCUGCAUUUUUUGAAAAACGCAGCCCUUCUUAGUGAAGGGCUGCGGUUAGCCCAAAAACCGCAGUCCUUCACUUACGAAGGGCUGCGGUCCAUGCGAAAACUGCAACCCUUUUAGUGAAGGGCUGCGGUUUUUUAAAAAUCGCAACCUUAUAAGUAAUAAAGGGCUGCGUUUUCUAAAAAAGCGCAGCCCUUUAUGGGCUUUUUUAAAAAACAAAUUUGAAAGGAAUUAAUUGCAGGCUUAACAUAUUAAGCGGGCUCAUUCUCCUUCCUUUUCUCCUCUCCCUCAUUCUCUCUCCUCUCUCACGUCCUUCCUUCUCCCUUCUCUCUCACCCUCCUUCCUCCUCCCUUCUCUCUCACCCUCCUUCCUCCUCCCUCCUUCCACAACAACAAAUAUUUGUUCUCUCCCACCCUCCGACGGCAGCGAAUAUUCGUUCCUUCUCCUCUUAAUGAGGGUUCGUCGUUCGUUGACCUGCACCGCCUUGCCACGCCGCGCUGUUCCUCGUCGUUUGUUCGUUCUCUCUCACCCUCCGACGGUAGCGAAUAUUCGUUCCUUCUUCUCUCAAUAAGUUUUUGCAUACCAGGUUGCUAUCCUUUUUAUAUUUAUAAUUUAUUUGAGCAUUAGUGUUACUAGACGUGGUUUUAUUUUUCAUUUUUUUUUUAGAAAUUUCUAACAUAUGCUCCAUCUGUUGUAUUGGCUGAUUAUAGAUGCCUUUGAAGGCAGCUGAGAGAGAUGUUUAUGAAUUUUUUUCUAAAGCUGGCAAGGUGAGGGAUGUCCGACUGAUAAUGGACCGAAACUCAAGGCGUUCGAAAGGGGUUGGCAAUGCGAUAAAGAUUUCCAUGACGAGGGAUGAUGGGAAUACCUUGCUCUCAUGUUUAAUCAAUUCAUGCAGCAUUCUGA
Long non-coding RNA from Beta vulgaris subsp. vulgaris (sugar beet), 904 nucleotides. RefSeq lists it as uncharacterized. Lineage: Eukaryota; Viridiplantae; Streptophyta; Magnoliopsida; Caryophyllales; Amaranthaceae. The record is from RefSeq and is a predicted model, not a curated record. The transcript is spliced from 3 exons.